UUGUGCAAGCCCGAACAAUAUUUUGCAGGCCCAAAAUGUUUAUUUUCUAAUUUGAUCUCUUGUUAUUUGCUGAUUCUACUCUAUAGACACAUGCACAGUUCUUUUACUGUAGGAAAAUACAGGUCAAGAUGAUCAUAGUUAAAGAACAACUGACAUUAAAAGGAUUAUAUUAUUUUUCAACAUAUUAAUCCAGUAUAUGCGAAAGUUUUUGGACCACACAGGACAUUCGGUCCAGUGUAAUCAAUGAACACACCGGACCGAACCAAAUUUUGUCAGACCGAAAAACCUAAUGUAAAAAAGUGAAACACGUGAAAAUGCAAAACCAAGGGAAUCUUAUUUAUUAUACUAGUAAUACUAUUCCAGGAAUCCUUCCCGUAUAAUACUUUAGACAGUCCAUGCGGUUUUAAUCAAUUCAUUUACGUAUUUGGAUGUGUGCUAUUUUUUUUACUUAUAACAAACUCCGCAUCAAGAUAGUAAAGCUCAAAACCGGACAUUGAGACAUCUGACAUUCCGGUCCGGUGUAAAAAAUGAUGCAUCGGACCUGAGGCACUGCACAUCGGUCAGGUCCGACGGUCCGAUGUCUUUCGCAUAGACUGAUUAAUCUCGCAGAUACAUCAGCAGCUCAUGUUCAACUCUGUUUUGUAUACACCACGUACAAAACAUUUUUUAAAUGUUAGCCAAGGCCUACCCUCGCAGUGUUCGAAAUUGGUUUAAAACUUGGUAUAGACCACAGGUCUAUGCCAAAAUAAGAUGACUUAGACGUACCUCAUCGAAUUGGCAUAAACCACAACAUUGAAAAAAUAAUAACACAAAUUUAAAACAUUUUCAUUUACUUCUAAUAUACUUAGAAAGUGUAUUUUCUUUCCAUUUCUGUAAUAUCAUCCUUUCCUCAUAAUGUUUAUCAGACGUCGACUGACCAUGCAAGGCCCUCUUGGAUAACUUUAUUGCUUUAAAUCUAGAAAAUUGGCAUAGACAAUUUGGUCUAUCUCAAUUACAGUUGGCAUAGACCAGUGCCAUUUGACAUAUACUCGGUCUAUGGUUAAUUUUGAACACUGCCCUCGGUCCAAUGGGGCAUGAAUUUUUGUUUUUUUCUCCUCGUACGACAGUUUUUUUGGGUUUUUUUUAUCGGAUGGUUGUGAUUGUGAAAUACGCUUGGGUGGUUUUGAAUUUCCCGGACGAGCCCCCUCCCUAUACUUCAGAAAAGGCAGCAUGGUUGAUAAUUUUUCUAUGCGAAAUUUGACUACUAAGUCAUGACAUUUAGUCUGAGUCAAUCUCACGCUUUAUUUGUAAUAUAUACAGAACAUAUAAGAAAACAUUUACAGGCCCAUCGGACUCCAGGGUUUAAUAUUUUAAGAAGCCCGAUCCCGAUUUUACUGGCCUCGGGCAUCAGGCCACUGGUUAAUGUCGAAGACUGUGUUACCACUGAGCUACCAUGACCAAUUUUUAUACGCCCAUCUUAAGACGGGACGUAUUAUGGUAUGGCGUGUCUGUCCGUCCGUCUGUUAGCUUUUUCGUGUCCGACCCGUAACUUAAAUACUACAAGGCCUAGAAUCAUCAAACUUUGUCUGUAGAUACAUCUUGGGUAGAAGGUGUGUCGCACGGUAAAACCAGGUCACUGUGACUUUUCAUUAAGAAGAUAUGGCCAUAUAUGGCAAAAACUUGUCCGGCUCAUAACUUGAAAACUAUUAGACCUAGAAUCACCAAAAUUGGUCAACUAAUGCAUCUUAGGUAGAAGGUGUGUCGCAUCCUACUUUAAGGUCACUGUGACAUUUAAUUAAGAUGAUAUAAAAAAAAAAUGUUUUAAUGGGUACUAUCUAUACUGUUAACAAUAUGUGACGGACGUAUCAUGUGCCAUGGCGGUGCACUUUAUUUAACAUGAAUUCAUAGCUAAAAAAAAAUUUAUUACUAAUUUUUUGGUUAAUUCCAUAAAUAUAUUAUUCCGCUCUCUAGACACAAUUCUGGGUUACCCCCCUGCCUUUGGGGGUAUAAGCACCUCAUUUCUUUCAGAAUGUCAGGAGAGCUUUUGUUAUUUGUUAUACUCUUAAUGUUGAUGGCAUGCAUCUAUGAACAACAGGAUAAUUUUUUAGAUUAUUAUUUCUGAUAUCAUAUUUGUAAAUUGUUUAUGAGGGGUUGUUAAAAGUUUGUGGACAAAAGGACGCACUUAUUAAAAAUUCAGAGUUAUCGUAAGUGAAAAAUAUAGGAGAUGUGUAACAAGAUUGUAUAUUUGAAGAUUUUAAUUUUAAUUAAUUUUUAUAAGUAUUGAUUUCAGAUACAUGUAUGACAUUGCAUGCUUGGGGGGGGGGGGGGGGGGGGGGGGGCUACAGUUAGAUAAUAUUCUGGUCAGCACAUUUGAUAAACUACAUGGAAUUCAUUAAAUCACUUCUUUUUCUUUCAGUGGUCUUCAACUUUUAAUCUCCAAGAAGGAAAUGUAAUUAAAAGAUGAAUAAAGUAUCCCUAAGAAUACCAGAAGAAAGGCUAUGUGUUGAGAAAAACAGCCCUUCCUCAGUACCUCAGAACUAGAUGAUAGCCCUUAAUUGUUACUUUAUGCUGAAUAUGACACAGUAUAGAAGAUCUGAUCAUGAAGAAGUAACACCAUUGAUACACUUGCCAACUGCCAAAAUUACUUUCUGAUAGUAUGACGAGAUUAGAAGAUAUCAUGGUGUAGUCAUGACACAAACUGCAAAUCAAAGAAUUAAUUGUCUUCCCCAGAGGAUGAACAGAGCACGAUGGCUUCACAUGGAUAACAUUUCCUUUCGAGUUUUGAAAUUAAUUUGUCAGAAUGUUAUGCAUCGUUAUCAACAGAAAAGAACUUCAUAGGUAGACCAAAGCUGACAUGGGAUGAGAUCCUAGAACAAGACCUAGAGUUUACAGGAUUGGAUAGGAUCAAUCCACUGGGUCUCCAAGUGUGGAAGUACAAACUUCAACCUUGACAGGACAGCCAGGCCUCACCCUUGCAAAAAGAUUAAUUUGGCCUGGAUAGUCAAAAUGAGUGAUGAUGAUUGAUAUCAAGGUCUGACACUGGAAGCUCAGUAAGGGUAGAUACUGGCAACGGAGCUGUUUAGCAAUAAAACAAACAAGUUUAACAUUAAACAUGUUUGUAUACUUUUUUGGCUCACCUGAGCCAAAGGCUCAAGUGAGCUUUUCUGAUCACCUUUGCCUGUCGUCUGUCUGUUUAUAAACUUUUCACAUUUUCAUUUUCUUCUCCAGAGUGAACCACUGGGCCAGUUUCAAUCAAACUUGGUAUGCAUCAUCAAUAGAUAAAAGGUAUUCAAGUUUGUUCAUAUAAAGGGUCAUGCACCCUUCAAAAAGGAAAUAAUCAUGGAAAUGCAAAAAUAGGGUGGGGUCAUUUAAAAAACCUUUUCAAGAACCACUGGACCAGGAAAGUUGAAUUCACACGAAAGGUUCCUGUUUUGUGCAAAUCAUGGUCUCUGGGGGUAGGGUGGGGUCACAAUAGAGAAUCAAAGUUUUACAUUCAUAUAUAGUGCAUAUUCAAGUUUGUAAAAAGCUCACAGGGGUAGGGUGGGGGUCACAAUAGGGGAUUUAAGUUUUACAUGUGAAAUAUAUACAAGGAAAAUCUUUUAAAAUCUUCUCCUCAAAAACUAGAUGCAGAACCGUAGCUCUUUGAAAAGAGAGCUUCAGAUGAACCCCUUAUAAAAAAAACUUCUUAUGGCAGAGAAAAAAAGUGCAUGUUUAAGUCCCUCUAUCACUGCAUUCCUGCAUCGCUGUCUCAUGAAUUUAAUAUUAAAUAAUUCCCAACAUAUUUUCCCACUAUACUUGUUUCCAAACAUACUUACAAAUAUUUUCUAAACCCACAUAUAACCCCAAAACAGCUUCAAGUGAUUUCAAUUUCUUUGUUGAUGUAGCCAUGUUAAGUAGCCAGUCAAUUUGAACCCCAGUUCAUUUCCAUACUCAUACUCAUUUUGAAACAUAAUGUCUGUGUGAACUAAUAUCCUCACAAAUAUUUUUAGUGAAAUAUUUUGGAUGAAAUCAUCCCAGUUGGGUUAAAUACUUAUUAUUCAAAUACUGUAGGUUUGAAUAUUGAACUAAUCUCACAGCUUUCUUAAGUUUGGUCCCCAUCCCCACCAGUCUGUUUUUACGCUUAACUAUUGAAAUGGGGUGUAAGGGAUCAGACUAGGCUUUUAUAGCAUUAUCAAUUUUCAAAAGCUUUAGAAAAAUUAUACAAUUUUAGGUCACUUGAGUAAACUCAGAUGACAUAUUGCUAUUGAUCUGCAUCUGUUGUAGUCCGUUGACAUUAACAAUUGAACAUUUUUAACUAAAUUCUAUAACUGAAAGAUGAAGAUACCGCACAGCGAUCAAUCUACGAUUCAAAUAACGGAAUUCUUUUCAAAUUUAGUAUGAAGCACACAAAUUUACAUUAAACCUUCUUGACAUAGUGCAUAUUCAAGUUUGUUAAAAUCAUUUCGCCGGGAGUUAUGGUGUGGUAACAAUAGGGGGUCAAAGUUUUAUAUGCUAGCUGAUAUAAAGGAAAAUUCUUUAAAGAUAUCUCUUGAACUAUUUAAGUUAGGGCUUUCAUAUCUUGUAUAUACAAUUUUUAUGGCAAAACAAAUCUGACCUAUUCAGUAUGUCCUGAACUACAUUGUGUUUAAGGUAGAUCUUUCAUAUAUAUUAUAUAUUAUGAAUUUCUUAUGAUAAAACCUUUCAUCUUGUUGAGGAGCCUCUCACCUCUGGUUGGCGCGGGUUUGAAUCCUGCUCGCACCGGUAAUUGAGAAAGUUUCCCAGUUUACUCUCGGAAGGUCGGUGGUCUCUUCCCAGGUACAUUGUAUCUGGGUUCUCUCUUCCACCAAUAAAAACUGGGCACCACCAGAUAACUGAAAAAUUGUUGAGUGUGGCGGAAAACAGUUAAAACAAUCAAUCAUAUUAUGUUAUUUGACCUUGUGACCCUGAAUUCUGAGUUUGACAUACUUUUAAGAAAGUAUAACAUAUUAAGUAUAUCCAGGACUAUUUUAGAUAGGGCUUUUAUGUUUUGUAUAUUGAUUACUUAUGGCAAGGUCUUUCAUAUCAUACCAAGACCUACGACUUUUUACCUUGGUCUUAUCCAGAACAGCAAUAGCAUGCUAGUCAUAUCUUUGUCUUAUAUGAUUUCAUUUUAGUAAUGUUGUGUUCUUUAGAGCUAGGUUUGGGUCACAUUAUUCAUGAGAAUAAAGAUUGAUAAAAUAGCAUUUAAAAAUCAAAACAGCAGGGCCAAGAUGACUCAGGUGAGCGAUGUGGCCCAUGGGCCUCUUGUUGAUUUUGAUAUUUCUACCUAUAUCAUUUGUAUGAGAAAUGGAACUCCUUUUUUUCUUUUACAAAUACAUGUAUUAUCAUAUGGAUCCAUCUUUGUUGAUUAUUUAAUCAAAGGACAUAUUCAAUUCAUUCAAUGUAUUAAAUGUAAAUUUAUGGAUAUGUCUGUGGUUAAAUUACUUAUGUAUGUAUGUAUACAUUUUUCUCGCACAUGCAAUUACAUAUAUGAUGUAUAUAUAUUUACUAAUUGUACAUGUAAUAUCCCCUGUUAUAUAAUAAAAUAUAUGACUGAGAAUAAAA
Ostrea edulis (European flat oyster) is the source of this 5541-nucleotide long non-coding RNA. RefSeq lists it as uncharacterized. The record is from RefSeq and is a predicted model, not a curated record. Lineage: Eukaryota; Metazoa; Mollusca; Bivalvia; Ostreida; Ostreidae. The transcript is spliced from 2 exons.